Molecule: ribosomal RNA, 469 nt
Filed under: uncultured bacterium
Lineage: Bacteria
Description: partial 16S ribosomal RNA
Rfam family: Bacterial small subunit ribosomal RNA
Source: RNAcentral
GACGAACGCUGGCGGCGUGCUUAACACAUGCAAGUCGAACGGAAAGGCCCUGCUUGCCGGGUGCUCGAGUGGCGAACGGGUGAGUAACACGUGGGUGUUCUGCCCCUUACUUUGGGAUAAGCCUGGGAAACUGGGUCUAAUACUGGAUAGGACCAUGCUGUAGGUGGUGUGGUGGAAAGAUUAGUUUCGGUAAGGGAUGAGCUCGCGGCCUAUCAGCUUGUUGGUGGGGUAAUGGCCUACCAAGGCGUCGACGGGUAGCCGGCCUGAGAGGGUGGACGGCGACAUGGGGGCUGGGAUACGGCCCAGACUCCUACGGGAGGCAGCAGUGGGGAAUAUUGCACAAUGGGCGCAAGCCUGAUGCAGCGACGCCGCGUGGGGGAUGACGGCCUUCGGGUUGUAAACUCCUUUCAGCCAUGACGAAGCCCUUGUGGUGACGGUAGUGGUAGAAGAAGCACCGGCUAACUACGUG